This 85-nucleotide transfer RNA is filed under the name Devosia riboflavina. Its description in RNAcentral is "tRNA-Leu". It matches the Rfam family "tRNA". Rfam says of the family: Transfer RNA (tRNA) molecules are approximately 80 nucleotides in length. The record is from RNAcentral. RNAcentral also lists the same sequence under 27 other names. Lineage: Bacteria; Pseudomonadati; Pseudomonadota; Alphaproteobacteria; Hyphomicrobiales; Devosiaceae.
GCCCAGAUGGCGGAAUUGGUAGACGCGCACGGUUCAGGUCCGUGUGCCGCAAGGCGUGAAGGUUCGAGUCCUUUUCUGGGCACCA